GACCAGCCAAGCUGCCCUCGCCGUGCCACCUCUGCUCCGCGACGUCGCCGUCUAGCUGCAGGAGGAGGAGCGGAGGCGUUGGAGCACUACACCUUGCGCUCCAGCAGCGUCUCCCACAAGUCCGGCUCUGCAAUAGUCACCAACGUCAUGCUAAUUCUGUCCUAACCUCCAUUUUCGUUACUCUCACAUGAUCCGAAUUAAUUUGCUUGUCCGUUCUUGCGGUAAUGGCCCUGUUUUCACUAGCAGCCGCUGGCUGGCGGACUCUCUGGCUGGCUUGGAUGUGUGUGUCUCUUUAUCCCUAGGCUUCAUUUUGUUGCUGUAUUGUUGUGAUUUGCACGGCGUACCAUUGGCCUGGGUGCUCACUCAAGGAUUUCCUAGGAUUCAGGUCAUUGGUUGCCGAUGUUAACGAUACUGCAGGAUUUGGAUCGAAAUAUCAAAAUGACGAAUUAGCGUUAGUUAUCAUUCGUGCGCUGCUACAGUAUAAUCAUUUUAGGAUGGUUGUUAUCCAUAUUCUGACGAGCUCUGGUAUAGUACAAAAUAAAUAUUGUACCCACAGCUUAUCUGCUCUAAAACUUGCCUAUGUUUAAGACCAUUGUUUUCAGCAACGAGUGUACUGAAGGUGUUCUGCCCCUGAUGUUUCAGUGGAUUUCUAACUGUUGCAGGAAAGGGGGAGGUGAACUGACGAAGAAGAAAGGGGUCUUCUUUUUCGCCCCUAUUGGAUCGGCGGCUGCCUGUGCGGUACUGGCAGUGGCCCUUGUGUUGUAGAGACCCGUCUGCUACCAUGGUUGCCACCGCACGACGGCAGGCGGAGCUGUGGCUCCCGCACCUACUUCGAGCUGGAAGGAGGGCUCGACUGGGCGGUGGUGCUGCAGCGCAGCUGGUUCUGUUGUUGCGCCCUCUGACCAUCACCGGCUAGCUGGCCGCCAUGCCGAAGCAUCGGAGAGCCAACCAGCAGGAGCGAUGGUGGCCGGCGCAGCGCCUGGGGUCCAUCCUCUCCGUUUCCUCCGAUAUUGCUCGCCGGGAACAACGACGGCCCCAAUGAAGGUUUCCCGGUGCAUAGGGGGACUCGGAUAUCGGCAAGGAUGAGGCCCAUGUUUGUGGGGAAUUUGAUCUUUCGGAGCUUGUACUGAUUACCAUUGGAACCUGGUAGCUUCUGAUUGGUUCAUAUUUGCUUGAGUGUUUGAGUUCAAAUAGCCUUUUAAAUAUAUUGUUUUGUCGUGGUGAUGAAAAUUCAGAAUUGGCCAUUGUUCUGUUGUCUAGAUCUACUUUGACAUCAUUCAAUAUUUCUGGCAAGUUUGUGAUGAUCGGCUAGCCUAGGUGAUGGAUCUAUCUUUGUUUGGGGUAGCUAAUUAAAACCUGAUGCAACCUGUGUGUCAUUUUGUUGAUUCACCAUGCGUGUAAAUAGUAGUACAUGAGCCACAAGGGUUGUAGUGUUGCAUAUGAUUCUGGACAUGAUUUGGCAUUGUUUCAAGUAUCAAUUUCUUGCUACAGCUAGUGUUAUUCAUCCCCGUGACAAGAUUGCUGCCUUCAACUUAUGCAUUUGUAAAGUUUGCAGUAGAGUUGUCAUGGUCUCCAAAUAUUUUAAAUUGAGCAGAAGUUGCACAGUUUGUUUAUUUUUUCCUGGUAAGAGUCGAUGGCAUUUUUGAAUCUGUCAUUCUGCUUAGAUCGUCAUGGUCUCCAAUUACUUUAAACCUGGGUGUUAGGAGUCUGCCCUAGUAUAAAGAAAUUCGAUCUUGCGCAACUUGUACUGAUUACCACUGGAUUCUGGUAGCUUCCGAUUGGUCCAUAUUGGCUUUGACUGUUUGAGUUCAAAGAGCCUACUAAAUUUAUUUAUUUUUGGCAGUGCCAUGAAUUUUCAGAACUUGGCAUUGUUCUGUUGUCUAGAUAUACUUCUGCUGAUGUGUUGGUGGGUUUGCUGACAGAAAUGUGCUGUGAUUUCUCAUCUAGUUGGGUACUGGCAUAUGUAAUCUGAUAAGUAAUUUCCGUGUUCCAUAGUGUAGCUUUUUGUACAUUAUUCAUGUUUCUAUCAUACUUGAACUGAUGGGUACACUAUCAUUGCCUUGACCCUUUCUUUUCUGAAGUUAACGAUAUCAUUGCCUUGUCCCUUUCUUUUCUGAAGUUAACGGAUAUGUGUAGUAGGUAAAGUAGUGAUGUUGGGCUGUUGUUGGAGCUUUUUUUUUUUUGCACGGUAACUUCAGCUUGAUCGAUCGUAGUUGCAAUGAGCCCAAUCAUGACUGUAUGUGAAAAGGUGGGAACAUCCAUUUUGAAAUUUUGGGUGCUUUUCCAUGUUUAGAACUACACAAGCUGGCUGAGGUAGCCGGUUGGCUAGAUCCAUUUUGGCAACAUUCAAUUUUUCCUGUCAAGUUUGUGAUGAUCAGCUAGCCUAGGUAAUGGAUCUAUGUUUGUUUGGAGUAGCUCAUUAAAACUUGAUGCAACUUGUUUGUUAUUUUAUUGACUCACCAUGUUUGUAACUAGAAGUGCAUCAGCCACAAUUGUUGCAGUGUUGCCGAGGGAUGUCAUUUUUUAACCUGUCAUCCUGUUAUAUAACUUCAUGGUCUCCAAAUACUUUAAUACCUGGAAAUUCGAUCUUCCGCAGCUUGUAGUGACUACCAUUGGAUUCUGGUAGCUUCCGCUUGGUUCGUAUUGGCUUGAGUGUUUGAGGUGAAAUAGCCUUCUAAUUUUUUUUUGGCAGUGCCAUGAAAUUUCAUAACUUGGCAUUGUUCUGUUGUCUAGAUAUACUUCUGCUGAUGUGUUGGUGGGUUUGCUGACAGAAAUGUGCUGUGAUUUCUCAUCUAGUGGCAUGCUGGCAUGCCAUUUCUUGUACAGAGAUUGACUUAUCAAACAAUGUGGUUCGUUCAUGAGUAGGUUGUUUUAUUUGCUUGUUCCAACAACAUACUGAUGUGUGAUUCUUGGCAGGCCGAUGUAUGGAGCAGAUGAUGGGAAGGAGGUUGGCGGCGCCGGAUAUAACAUGCUGAUGGAUCUAGUUGUAUGGGGGACAGAAGUUGGCCCUCGAAAGCAAUGGAGAGGCUGCUAGCUCGCUGGGUGAGUAGCAGCGAGUUUUUGUGGUGUGUGCUCCAAGCAAGAUACACUCGUGUCUCGGAUAAUAAUAUAUUAUCAGUUUAGUUUAUUUUGCUGCUCUAUAUAUAUUGAGUUGACUAGCAGUAUUGUAACAUUUUCUUUGUAAAUUGUAAUCUUUAUUGGUUAAUUGGUUGAUGGCUUCCAUUUGUGUUUGAUGCAUGAGAC
Molecule: long non-coding RNA, 3243 nt
Organism: Lolium rigidum
Lineage: Eukaryota; Viridiplantae; Streptophyta; Magnoliopsida; Poales; Poaceae
Exons: 3
Source: RefSeq, a predicted model, not a curated record